GCCUGGGUGGCUCAGUCGGUUAAGUGUCUGACUUCAGCUCAGGUCAUGAUCUCACGGUUUGUGAGUUCGAGCCCCACAUCAGGCU
This 85-nucleotide transfer RNA is filed under the name Felis catus (domestic cat). It matches the Rfam family "tRNA". From Rfam's summary of the family: Transfer RNA (tRNA) molecules are approximately 80 nucleotides in length. Their secondary structure includes four short double-helical elements and three loops (D, anti-codon, and T loops). RNAcentral also lists the same sequence under 1 other name. Lineage: Eukaryota; Metazoa; Chordata; Mammalia; Carnivora; Felidae. The record is from Rfam by way of RNAcentral.